GUCCACGCCGUAAACGGUGGGCACUAGGUGUGGGAUUCACUCAACGGAUUCCGUGCCGCAGCUAACGCAUUAAGUGCCCCGCCUGGGGAGUACGGCCGCAAGGCUAAAACUCAAAGGAAUUGACGGGGGCCCCGCACAAGCGGCGGAGCAUGUUGCUUAAUUCGAGGCAACGCGAAGAACCUUACCUAGGUUUGACAUGUACGGAAAAGCUACAGAGAUGUGGUGUCCUUCGGGGCCGUACACAGGUGGUGCAUGGCUGUCGU
Molecule: ribosomal RNA, 263 nt
Filed under: uncultured bacterium
Lineage: Bacteria
Description: partial 16S ribosomal RNA
Rfam family: Bacterial small subunit ribosomal RNA
Source: RNAcentral